AUUGAACGCUGGCGGCAGGCCUAACACAUGCAAGUCGAGCGGCAGGCACGGGGAGCGUUGCUCCCUGGUGGCGAGCGGCGGACGGGUGAGUAAUGCAUAGGAAUCUGCCCGGUAGUGGGGGAUAACCUGGGGAAACCCAGGCUAAUACCGCAUACGUCCUACGGGAGAAAGCAGGGGACCUUCGGGCCUUGCGCCUAUCGGAUGAGCCUAUGUCGGAUUAGCUGGUUGGUGAGGUAAUGGCUCACCAAGGCAACGAUCCGUAGCUGGUCUGAGAGGAUGAUCAGCCACAUCGGGACUGAGACACGGCCCGA
Molecule: ribosomal RNA, 311 nt
Filed under: uncultured bacterium
Lineage: Bacteria
Description: bacterial SSU rRNA
Rfam family: Bacterial small subunit ribosomal RNA
Source: RNAcentral